AGCGAACGCUGGCGGCAGGCCUAACACAUGCAAGUCGAACGAAGUCUUCGGACUUAGUGGCGGACGGGUGAGUAACACGUGGGAACGUACCUUUUGGUUCGGAACAACUCAGGGAAACUUGAGCUAAUACCGGAUGAGCCCUUAGGGGGAAAGAUUUAUCGCCGAAAGAGCGGCCCGCGUUAGAUUAGCUAGUUGGUGAGGUAAAGGCUCACCAAGGCUACGAUAUAUAGCUGGUCUGAGAGGAUGAUCAGCCAGACUGGGACUGAAACACGGCCCAGACUCCUACGGGAGGCAGCAGUGGGGAAUCUUGCGCAAUGGGCGAAAGCCUGACGCAGCCAUGCCGCGUGAAUGAUGAAAGUCUUAGGAUUGUAAAAUUCUUUUACCAGGGACGAUAAUGACGGUACCUGGAGAAAAAGCCCCGGCUAACUUCGUGCCAGCAGCCGCCGUAA
RNAcentral lists this ribosomal RNA (449 nucleotides) under uncultured bacterium. RNAcentral describes it as "partial 16S ribosomal RNA". It matches the Rfam family "Bacterial small subunit ribosomal RNA", at positions 29 to 523 of the family's 1533-position model. The record is from RNAcentral.